UAAGGAAUUUUGCGCAAUGGGGGCAACCCUGACGCAGCGACGCCGCGUGAGUGAGGAAGGCCUUCGGGUCGUAAAGCUCUGUCAAAGGGAAAGAAGUGCAUGGUGGCUAAUACCUGCCAUGUUUGACGGUACCCUUAAAGGAAGCACCGGCUAACCCCGUGCCAGCAGCCGCGGUAAUACGGAGGGUGCAAGCGUUAUUCGGAAUUAUUGGGCGUAAAGGGCGCGUAGGCGGUUUUUUAAGUGAGAUGUGUAAUCCCCGAGCUUAACUUGGGAACUGCAUCUCAGACUGGAAGGCUAGAGUGCUGGAGAGGGUGGUAGAAUUCCACGUGUAGCGGUGAAAUGCGUAGAGAUGUGGAGGAAUACCAGUGGCGAAGGCGGCCAUCUGGACGGUAACUGACGCUGAGACGCGAAAGCGUGGGGAGCAAACA
RNAcentral lists this ribosomal RNA (428 nucleotides) under uncultured prokaryote. RNAcentral describes it as "bacterial SSU rRNA". It matches the Rfam family "Bacterial small subunit ribosomal RNA", at positions 355 to 774 of the family's 1533-position model. The record is from RNAcentral.